This 492-nucleotide ribosomal RNA is filed under the name uncultured bacterium. RNAcentral describes it as "partial 16S ribosomal RNA". It matches the Rfam family "Bacterial small subunit ribosomal RNA", at positions 29 to 507 of the family's 1533-position model. The record is from RNAcentral.
AGUGAACGCUGGCGGUAGGCCUAACACAUGCAAGUCGAACGGCAGCACAGUAAGAGCUUGCUCUUACGGGUGGCGAGUGGCGGACGGGUGAGGAAUACAUCGGAAUCUACUUUUUCGUGGGGGAUAACGUAGGGAAACUUACGCUAAUACCGCAUACGACCUACGGGUGAAAGCAGGGGAUCUUCGGACCUUGCGCGAUUGAAUGAGCCGAUGUCGGAUUAGCUAGUUGGCGGGGUAAAGGCCCACCAAGGCGACGACCCGUAGCUGGUCUGAGAGGAUGAUCAGCCACACUGGAACUGAGACACGGUCCAGACUCCUACGGGAGGCAGCAGUGGGGAAUAUUGGACAAUGGGCGCAAGCCUGAUCCAGCCAUACCGCGUGGGUGAAGAAGGCCUUCGGGUUGUAAAGCCCUUUUGUUGGGAAAGAAAAGCAGCAGGUUAAUACCCCGCUGUUAUGACGGUACCCAAAGAAUAAGCACCGGCUAACUUCGUG